Molecule: ribosomal RNA, 408 nt
Filed under: uncultured bacterium
Lineage: Bacteria
Description: partial 16S ribosomal RNA
Rfam family: Bacterial small subunit ribosomal RNA
Source: RNAcentral
GACGAACGCUGGCGGCGUGCUUAACACAUGCAAGUCGAACGGAGUGGCGAACGGGUGAGUAACACGUGGGUGACCUGCCCUGCACUUCGGGAUAAGCCUGGGAAACUGGGUCUAAUACCGGAUAGUGUGGGAUGGGCCCGCGGCCUAUCAGCUUGUUGGUGGGGUAAUGGCCUACCAAGGCGGCGACGGGUGGCCGGACUGAGAGGGUGGACGGCCACAUGGGGACUGAGGAACGGGCAAGACGCAUACGGGAGGCAGGAGAGGGGAAUAGUGCACAAUGGGCGGAAGGCUGAUGCAGCGACGCCGCGUGGGGGAUGACGGCUUUCGGGUUGUAAACUCCUUUCAGCAUCGACGCGGGAGAUGGAGAAGAAGCACCGGCUAACUACGUGCCAGCAGCCGCGGUAAUAC